AAGUCGUAACAAGGUUUCCGUAGGUGAACCUGCGGAAGGAUCAUUAUUGAAAUAAACCUGAUGGGUUGCUGCUGGCUCUCUCUAGGGAGCAUGUGCACACUUGUCAUCUUUAUAUCUCCACCUGUGCACCUUUUGUAGAUCUGGAUAUCUUUCUGAAUGCCUGGCAUUCAGGUUUGAGGAGUUGACUUUUGUCUCUCCUUACAUUUCCAGACCUAUGUUUUCUUCACAUACACCAUUUAUGUCAUAGAAUGUAAUUGAAAGGGCCUUUGUGCCUACAAACCUUAUACAACUUUCAGCAAC
RNAcentral lists this unclassified non-coding RNA (300 nucleotides) under Cortinarius sp. Its description in RNAcentral is "partial contains small subunit ribosomal RNA and internal transcribed spacer 1". The stretch from base 1 to 46 matches the Rfam family "Eukaryotic small subunit ribosomal RNA", at positions 1786 to 1831 of the family's 1831-position model. The record is from RNAcentral. Lineage: Eukaryota; Fungi; Basidiomycota; Agaricomycetes; Agaricales; Cortinariaceae.